CAUACUCAAUGAGUUCUACAAAAAUCCUACUCGAUUUGCAUAUACGUUUCAACACCACGUUUUCAUGACACGCCUGCUACUAGAGGCGGAGACCCGAUCUGGCAGUGUACGAAUCAUGGAAAGAAGCAUUCUUUCAGACAGAAUGAUUUUCGUCGAGUCGGUGUAUGAAAAAGGAUGGUUAUCUGACCUAGAGUUCAGUCUUUUUAACAGCUGGUAUGAGCCUGUCGUAAAGGUAAGCCUACAGUGAUACGAGGAGGAAUUUCCAUUGACUCGAUGUCAACAGGUUUCUCCCCACCUAAUCCCCGAUGCAUUUAUUUAUCUUCGGACAACUCCGGAAGUUUGCUUGAAAAGGUUGAAGAGGAGAGCCCGGGGAGAGGAAACAGAGAUCGACCUUCAAUAUCUAAGAACGUUGCACAAUAAGCACGAAUACUGGCUGAAUCAGGACAAACACGGCGAUGUUCCUGAUGAACCAGCUGGCUUUACAGACUCG
RNAcentral lists this long non-coding RNA (490 nucleotides) under Micromonas commoda. RNAcentral's name for it is "long non-coding RNA (MCOM_LNC000028)". Lineage: Eukaryota; Viridiplantae; Chlorophyta; Mamiellophyceae; Mamiellales; Mamiellaceae. The record is from RNAcentral.